UAUCCAACCUGCCUGUUACCACGGCACAGCCCGUCGAAAGGCGGAUUAAUGCCGUAUGUGGUCCUAAGCGGGCAUCUAAUUAGGACUAAAGGAUUGGCGGUAACGGAUGGGGAUGCGUCCGAUUAGCUUGACGGCGGGGUAACGGCCCACCGUGGCGACGAUCGGUAGGGGUUCUGAGAGGAAGGUCCCCCACAUUGGAACUGAGACACGGUCCAAACUCCUACGGGAGGCAGCAGUGAGGAAUAUUGGUCAAUGGGCGAGAGCCUGAACCAGCCAAGUAGCGUGAGGGAAGACUGCCCUAUGGGUUGUAAACCUCUUUUGUGCGGGGAUAAAGUGAGGGACGUGUCCCUCAUUGCAGGUACCGCACGAAUAAGGACCGGCUAAUUCCGUGCCAGCAGCCGCGGUAAUACGGAAGGUCCGGGCGUUAUCCGGAUUUAUUGGGUUUAAAGGGAGCGCAGGCCGUCCUUUAAGCGUGCUGUGAAAUGCCGCGGCUCAACCGUGGCACUGCAGCGCGAACUGGAGGACUUGAGUACGCACGAGGUAGGCGGAAUUCGUGGUGUAGCGGUGAAAUGCUUAGAUAUCACGAAGAGCUCCGAUUG
Molecule: ribosomal RNA, 599 nt
Filed under: uncultured Prevotellaceae bacterium
Lineage: Bacteria; Pseudomonadati; Bacteroidota; Bacteroidia; Bacteroidales; Prevotellaceae
Description: bacterial SSU rRNA
Rfam family: Bacterial small subunit ribosomal RNA
Source: RNAcentral